Molecule: ribosomal RNA, 309 nt
Filed under: Triticum aestivum (bread wheat)
Lineage: Eukaryota; Viridiplantae; Streptophyta; Magnoliopsida; Poales; Poaceae
Description: partial small subunit ribosomal RNA
Source: RNAcentral
GUGGGUCGCCCUCCUUAUGUUGAGAAGGGCCGGUCGCGCUGUGGCACCUUCUGUGACUACUGCUCCAGGCUAGGUCACCCAGAGUCUGAUUGUCAUCAGAAGCAGCGAAACCAGAGGCGCUCCUCUUCCAGUGGUGCUCCCGUGUCGUCAUCAACUCCGUCACUCACCGACCAGGACAUUGUGCGGCUCAAGCGCCUUCUGGCUUCCUCCGGCUCUUCAUCGACGGGUUCUGCUGCUGUUGUGACUGCUUUCACCACUUCAUCACCGCCGGCAUCUACACCGUCAGGUACUGUUGGAAAUAUGCCCUAG